RNAcentral lists this ribosomal RNA (371 nucleotides) under uncultured organism. RNAcentral describes it as "bacterial SSU rRNA". It matches the Rfam family "Bacterial small subunit ribosomal RNA", at positions 526 to 896 of the family's 1533-position model. The record is from RNAcentral.
CGGAGGUGGCAAGCGUUACUCGGAAUCAUUGGGUGUAAAGGGCAAGUAGGUGGCCUGUUAAGUGAGGGGUGAAAUCCUGCGACUCAAUCGCAGAACUGCCUUUCAAACUGGCAGGCUUGAGGGUGGAAGAGGAAAAUGGAAUUCUCGGUGUAAGGGUGAAAUCUGUAGAUAUCGAGAAGAACACCAGCGGCGAAGGCGAUUUUCUGGUCCAUUCCUGACACUAAAUUGCGAAAGCUAGGGGAGCAAACAGAAUUAGAUACUCUGGUAGUCCUAGCCGUAAACGUUGAGCACUAGGUGUUGGCCCCGUAAGGGGGUCAGUGCCGCAGCUAACGCAUUAAGUGCUCCACCUGGGGACUACGGUCGCAAGGCUA